This is a long non-coding RNA of Gambusia affinis (western mosquitofish), 585 nucleotides long. RefSeq lists it as uncharacterized. NCBI's taxonomy places the organism in Eukaryota, Metazoa, Chordata, Actinopteri, Cyprinodontiformes, Poeciliidae. The record is from RefSeq and is a predicted model, not a curated record. The transcript is spliced from 2 exons.
GUGCAUAAAAUGGUAAAUAUGAAAAUCUAAUUAAAAAACGUCCAAAAAGUUCCAAAAUAUUCUCUUAGGUUGUCAUUAAGAUACUUAGACAGCAUAAGUUGCUCAUAAAUCUCUGCUGGACCAUCACAGAAGUGAAAAUUAUCUUUGCAGAAGACACUGCUUACACUAUGAAUAAUCAUUGAUGACCUUGUUGCCUCUUUCCUUUCCAGCUUCAGUUUUGUUGAAAGAUGCUGGAUACUCACCCAUUUGAUCCAUGUCCAUCUGUCAUGCCUCAGAGCCUAAAGAAAUGGGCUGUGGUCAGCAUUUGGCUUCUUUGCACACAAAGCUUGAAGCAGCAAGAUUCUCAUAGAAAUUCUUGAUCUAUAUCCGUCAGCAGGAUUUUCAUUGCGUAAGAACCUCCCAUGCAUGACCCUGGACCGUUUCUCGACUCAGCUUCUGGAUGGUGGAUUUUGUCCCUGUCUUCUGGUUGUCCUCUGAGCUCCCCGGCUGGACGCCUGACCCCUGUGGAUCCCCCAUCCCUGACCCACCGUUGUGACCACACGCUUCUACACCAUUAUUUUUGUAAAUAAACUUUUGGUGACUCAU